RNAcentral lists this ribosomal RNA (253 nucleotides) under uncultured bacterium. Its description in RNAcentral is "partial 16S ribosomal RNA". It matches the Rfam family "Bacterial small subunit ribosomal RNA", at positions 524 to 776 of the family's 1533-position model. The record is from RNAcentral.
UACGGGGGGGGCAAGCGUUGUUCGGAAUUACUGGGCGUAAAGGGCUCGUAGGUGGCCAACUAAGUCAGACGUGAAAUCCCCAGGCUCAACUUGGGAACUGCGUCUGAUACUGGAUGGCUUGAAUUCGGGAGAGGGAUGCAGAAUUCCAGGUGUAGCGGUGAAAUGCGCAGAUAUCGGGAGGAACACCGGUGGCGAAGGCGGUUCUCUGGGCCUGUACUGACGCUGAGGAGCGAAAGCGUGGGGAGCGAACAGG